Molecule: ribosomal RNA, 483 nt
Filed under: uncultured bacterium
Lineage: Bacteria
Description: partial 16S ribosomal RNA
Rfam family: Bacterial small subunit ribosomal RNA
Source: RNAcentral
GACGAACGCUGGCGGCGUGCUUAACACAUGCAAGUCGAACGCUGAAGCUCAGCUUUUGUUGGGUGGAUGAGUGGCGAACGGGUGAGUAACACGUGAGUAACCUGCCUCCUUCUUUGGGAUAACGCCCGGAAACGGGUGCUAAUACUGGAUAUUCACUGGUCUUCGCAUGGGGGUUGGUGGAAAGGGUUUUUCUGGUGGGGGAUGGGCUCGCGGCCUAUCAGCUUGUUGGUGGGGUGAUGGCCUACCAAGGCUUUGACGGGUAGCCGGCCUGAGAGAGUGAACGGUCACAUUGGGACUGAGAUACGGCCCAGACUCCUACGGGAGGCAGAAGUGGGGAAUAUUGCACAAUGGGCGCAAGACUGAUGCAGCGACGCUGCGUGAGGGAUGGAGGCCUUCGGGUUGUGAACCUCUUUAGCUCAUGGUCAAGCCGCAACAAUGGUUGUGGUGAGGGUAGUGGGUAAAGAAGCGCCGGCUAACUACGUG